UUAACGGAGAGUUUGAUCCUGGCUCAGGACGAACGCUGGCGGCGUGCCUAAUACAUGCAAGUCGAGCGGACCAAAGGGAGCUUGCUCCCAGAGGUUAGCGGCGGACGGGUGAGUAACACGUGGGCAACCUGCCCUGUAGACUGGGAUAACAUCGAGAAAUCGGUGCUAAUACCGGAUAAUCAAAGGAAUCACAUGA
Molecule: non-coding RNA, 196 nt
Filed under: Alkalihalobacillus alcalophilus ATCC 27647 = CGMCC 1.3604
Lineage: Bacteria; Bacillati; Bacillota; Bacilli; Caryophanales; Bacillaceae
Description: Bacillus alcalophilus ATCC 27647 = CGMCC 1.3604 Bacterial small subunit ribosomal RNA
Rfam family: Bacterial small subunit ribosomal RNA
Source: Rfam by way of RNAcentral